GGUGAGGUGUCCGAGUGGUCGAAGGAGCACGCCUGGAAAGUGUGUGUGUCGUAAGGCACCGAGGGUUCGAAUCCCUCCCUCACCG
This 85-nucleotide transfer RNA is filed under the name Alteromonadaceae bacterium Bs31. It matches the Rfam family "tRNA". From Rfam's summary of the family: Transfer RNA (tRNA) molecules are approximately 80 nucleotides in length. Their secondary structure includes four short double-helical elements and three loops (D, anti-codon, and T loops). Lineage: Bacteria; Pseudomonadati; Pseudomonadota; Gammaproteobacteria; Alteromonadales; Alteromonadaceae. The record is from Rfam by way of RNAcentral.